RNAcentral lists this ribosomal RNA (955 nucleotides) under uncultured Flavobacteriaceae bacterium. RNAcentral describes it as "bacterial SSU rRNA". It matches the Rfam family "Bacterial small subunit ribosomal RNA", at positions 55 to 1015 of the family's 1533-position model. The record is from RNAcentral. Lineage: Bacteria; Pseudomonadati; Bacteroidota; Flavobacteriia; Flavobacteriales; Flavobacteriaceae.
AUGCAAGUCGAGGGGUAUAAGUCUUCGGAUUUAGAGACCGGCGCACGGGUGCGUAACGCGUAUGCAAUCUACCUUUCACAAAGGAAUAGCCCAGAGAAAUUUGGAUUAAUGCCUUAUAGUAUAACGAGUUCGCAUGGAUUUGUUAUUAAAGAUUUAUCGGUGAAAGAUGAGCAUGCGUCCCAUUAGCUUGUUGGUAAGGUAACGGCUUACCAAGGCUACGAUGGGUAGGGGUCCUGAGAGGGAGAUCCCCCACACUGGUACUGAGACACGGACCAGACUCCUACGGGAGGCAGCAGUGAGGAAUAUUGGUCAAUGGGCGCAAGCCUGAACCAGCCAUGCCGCGUGCAGGAUGACGGUCCUAUGGAUUGUAAACUGCUUUUAUACAGGAAGAAACAACUCUACGUGUAGAGUCUUGACGGUACUGUAGGAAUAAGGAUCGGCUAACUCCGUGCCAGCAGCCGCGGUAAUACGGAGGAUCCAAGCGUUAUCCGGAAUCAUUGGGUUUAAAGGGUCCGUAGGCGGCUUAAUAAGUCAGUGGUGAAAGCCCUACGCUUAACGUAGGAACGGCCAUUGAUACUGUUAGGCUUGAAUUAUUAGGAAGUAACUAGAAUAUGUAGUGUAGCGGUGAAAUGCUUAGAGAUUACAUGGAAUACCAAUUGCGAAGGCAGGUUACUACUAAUGGAUUGACGCUGGUGGACGAAAGCGUGGGUAGCGAACAGGAUUAGAUACCCUGGUAGUCCACGCCGUAAACGAUGGAUACUAGCUGUUGGGCGCAAGCUCAGUGGCUAAGCGAAAGUGAUAAGUAUCCCACCUGGGGAGUACGUUCGCAAGAAUGAAACUCAAAGGAAUUGACGGGGGCCCGCACAAGCGGUGGAGCAUGUGGUUUAAUUCGAUGAUACGCGAGGAACCUUACCAAGGCUUAAAUGUAGAUUGACCGUUUUGGAAACAGAACUUU